UUGGUCAAUGGACGCAAGUCUGAACCAGCCAUGCCGCGUGAAGGAUUAAGGCCCUCUGGGUUGUAAACUUCUUUUAUAGGGGAAGAAAUGUGACGGUUCUCCGUCACUUGACGGUACCCUGGGAAUAAGCACCGGCUAACUCCGUGCCAGCAGCCGCGGUAAUACGGAGGGUGCAAGCGUUAUCCGGAUUCACUGGGUUUCAAGGGUGCGUAGGUGGGCAGAUAAGUCAGUGGUGAAAUCUUCCGGCUUAACCGGGAAACUGCAAGUGCUACUAUGUGUCUUGAAUAGUGCGGAGGUAAGCGGAAUAUGUCAUGUAGCGGUGAAAUGCUUAGAUAUGACAUAGAACACCA
RNAcentral lists this ribosomal RNA (350 nucleotides) under uncultured bacterium. Its description in RNAcentral is "bacterial SSU rRNA". It matches the Rfam family "Bacterial small subunit ribosomal RNA", at positions 364 to 711 of the family's 1533-position model. The record is from RNAcentral.